CCUUUGGUCCUGUUGGUGAACUAGAUUGAGGUCCUGUAGUGCCCGAGACAUUAUUUCCAUCACUUCUGACAGAAAGAGACAUGGGAAAAGCACUGCCUGGUUUUAGACCUUCUUUACCAAAAGGAAUUGGAGGUGGUGGAGCAGGUGGAGACUUUUUUGAUGAAGGAUUAGGGUUGCCAGAGGAAAGUGUUGCAGAGGGAGGUGGAGGCGGUGCUGGUGGUGCUAUAGUAGGACUAGCAACUUCCCUUGAAUGAUGAGGUGGUGGUGGAGGUGGUGGGGGCUUAAACGUAGCAGGUUGCUCCGCUUUUAGAGGAGGUGGCGGAGGAGAAAGUCCAUCUCUUACAUGUGGCUGUUCAUUCAUAGGAGAUGGAAUGGGAGAAGUAGGAGGAGGUCCAGCUUCAACAUGUAGUUCCUUCUUGGGAGGUGAUAGACCUCGUCCCUUUGGUCCUGUUGGUGAACUAGAUUGAGGUCCUGUAGUGCCCGAGACAUUAUUUCCAUCACUUCUGACAGAAAGAGACAUGGGAAAAGCACUGCCUGGUUUUAGACCUUCUUUACCAAAAGGAAUUGGAGGUGGUGGAGCAGGUGGAGACUUUUUUGAUGAAGGAUUAGGGUUGCCAGAGGAAAGUGUUGCAGAGGGAGGUGGAGGCGGUGCUGGUGGUGCUAUAGUAGGACUAGCAACUUCCCUUGAAUGAUGAGGUGGUGGUGGAGGUGGUGGGGGCUUAAACG
This 726-nucleotide long non-coding RNA is filed under the name Cicer arietinum (chickpea). RNAcentral's name for it is "long non-coding RNA (CARI_LNC002161)". Lineage: Eukaryota; Viridiplantae; Streptophyta; Magnoliopsida; Fabales; Fabaceae. The record is from RNAcentral.